RNAcentral lists this long non-coding RNA (2991 nucleotides) under Sus scrofa (pig). RNAcentral's name for it is "lncRNA (ENSSSCG00025064436.1, ENSSSCG00035048091.1)". The record is from RNAcentral. Lineage: Eukaryota; Metazoa; Chordata; Mammalia; Artiodactyla; Suidae.
AGGAACCUUCUUAUUCAAAACACCUUUCAAAGUCAAUGCAUAAAAAUAGCAGGCAGCUUCCACUUGCAGGCCUUUUGAAGCUGGAGAAGAGGUGUUUUUCAUGAGAAGAAACUGAGUCCCAGGAAGAUGAAAUGACUUGCUACAUCAGCCACAAGUACUCGCUCAGCAUGAACUGGGCACUGGGAGCUGGACAGCAUCGGCCAUAGAGUGGAGACCACAGUGGACACGGCCCUUCAUAAAUCCUGAGCCUCUUGGAAGGGAGUCAGAGUAGAUGCACAUAGGCCAUCUGCCAUCUUUAUGUGGAGAUGAAGAUAACAGAGCACAGAAGAUUAAGUAAUUUUUCCAAAGAUGCAGAAAUAGAAAAUGACAGAACUUGGCUUCUUAGCCACUAUAUUCUAGCUGCCUCCAACACAUGGGAAGACAGUAGCUCUCGGGUAACGUCUUUGCCUUUGGUCUCUGCAAUCCUUUAUGUACUACUAUUACCUCUCUAAGAAUCUUAAUUUAUUAAUCAGCAAGUGCAUAUUCGGUGCCUGUUAUGUGCACAGAAUGGUUUGUUCACUGUGGAGGUAUAAAGAAAGGCGGCAGGGCUACUUCCUUCAGGAAGUUUACAUCUCUCCAAGAGAAAGCCCCCACGUAUCUGAAAAUAAGCAUAAUGGUACAGAGUAAUAUCAUCAUUCAAUAAAAUGAAAGCUUGAUUUGAUCUGGGUGCUCAGAAAGCUCAAGAAACUGAUUAAAAACAGUGACAGUUGUUUACUUAGUAAGAGUUUACUUAGUGUCUGGUCUCCCCAUGGUGCUUUCAGUUCUCCCUUUACCUCUUUUUUGGCAGCUUAAUUUUACUGCUAUUGUACUACUUAUUGAUAUUUCCUCCACAGAGCGAAUUAACUGGAUUGUCUAUAAGCUCAAAAGAUCUUUGUAAAAGUUUAAAGUGGGAAGAGUCAAAUUCAUGGUCACUGUGGUUUAUAGAUAAAUAGGAAGGAAGGACAGGAGGGAGAGCAGGAGGCAGGCAGCAGGCCUUUUAUCUCAACUACAUUCUUUCCUCCUCGUCAAGAUGGAUAACCGAGGAUGAGUACAUGUUAACAUUGAGUGUUCUCUAUUAUUUCUGGAAUGACCAGGAGUAAACAAAAGGUUUAUAGAUGCUAUUGCAUCUUUAGAUUGGCUAGCAUGGUGGCUGACUCCUAAUAGAGACCUAUCAAAUAUUUAUUGUUCCAUGUAUUUAAUGAAUAAAAUUGAAGAAAACCUAAGGUGGAUCAUUUUAUAGACAAUGAAGAAAAAUCCUCGUGAGUUUGUAUUUUAAUUUGAAGGCAUUUUCCCAGUGCAAUGCACAUCACAUCUUAGGGAGAGAGUUGCAGUCAAUCCGUUAUCCUUAUCCAGAAGCUCCUUAGGAUUAAGGGAUGAGACUCAUUCAUAGUUUAUGACCACUCCCUCCCCAGCGCAGUACCCAGAAGACAGUAAGUAUUUAUUUGAUGGAAAUGCUUGUUGGAUGGAAAAAUGAAUCAUUUGUCAGUAUCUAGUUUGAUGCUGAAGGAAAUCUUAAGUGCUCUGUAACCACCUGUCCUAAGGGUUGGUCCUACACAAAACUAACAGUACACAAGAGCAGUUUUUCAGGAAAAACUUGAUAAGGUAGUAGUCAGACCAUUUACUGUGAAGCCAAGCAGACCCAGAGUCUAGUCCCAUUCCUGCCACUUAGUAGCUAGCUGUAUGACCUCAGGAAAGUUGUGUAACCUCUCUAAGUCUCAAUUUCCCAGUCUUUCAGUUUGGAGCAGUGAUAGUAUUUCACAUGUUCGGUGUAAAGAUUAAGUAAGAUACUCCUCACUGUGACUAACUACACUAAGUGCUCGACCAAUGGUAAAUAAAUAGUUACUCUACAAAGAUCUCAGGAGUUGAGGCUGUGGCCAUUUGGAUCUGUAAAGAAUCCUGACCAAAGUGGGGAAAUCUAAAACACAUAUGCUUCCUGUGUUUCUCUUUCCUUGCUUUAGGGAUUUUGAGUGACAUUUGUUUGGCUUUAUGAGUAUGUGGGAAGAGAUGGGAUGGGACAGGAGCUGGAAAUUCUUUCCACCUCUAGAGAAUGCCCUCUACCAAGGAUUUCUGCUAACAGGGCCCCAUAGGCCCACCCUAUCAGCUGAGGAUGAAAGCAGCCAGAGACAAUGGGAUAUGACACAGUAAUGAGUUCUCAUUUGUCAGGUGUCAGCUUGCCGAUAUGGUCUAAGGCUAUGGUGUUCAAUAAUUCCUAGAAAUUGGUAAUAACGAUACCAUUUACACGGCAGCUCCUCUGGCAGGUUUCAGAGCAGCUCCACAUACACUAUCUGUUUUAAUUUCCACCACAAUGCAGGAGGAACCUGAAAUAAAUAUUAUCGUUCCCAUUGUAUAGAUGAGUACAUACAUUCUAAAAAGCAAAAUGACCAUACCUGAGAUCACUCAGUUGCUCAGGCAUUGACCUCAGACUUGACCCUCACUCGGGGGUCCUUAUUUUAUUUCCAUGAAACUAAAUGGCCUGUUUCUUCUACAGAAUCUCUCUGGCAUUUUGAUUCUUAAGUGUGCUUGUAUCCAUGCUAGACCCUUAAGAAUGUGCGUUUGUAAGAUCAUUUAGUAAUCAGUUGCAGCAGCUAAAAGGGGCAGCCAGUUUUUUUGAAACCUUAUGUGUCUUUUUGGACCAACAGGGAACAAAAUUAUUCAUCUUGAUACAGCAAGUCUUCAAUGAUGUCAAUAGGAAAACAGCCACAGCCAUGCUAAAGGCUUCAAGCACCACCGGUUUUGUCCAGAGGAGGCCAUGGUUAUUCUGGCGAAGUACAAGGCCGAGGUCAUUUUGAGCUGUCACUCUCUUGAGGGUCCGAGUCUAUGAAGCAGAGUAAGCUCAGGACCUACAGCACUGGACCUCUAGGAGGGCAACCUCACCAGCAGAUGAGGUCAUGAUGGAUGAUUCCUAAUUAUGGAGUCCUUUUCAUCUCUCAGUUUAUAUUCUGAGUUUCUACCUAGAAUAAAUUCUACUGUUUC